This 396-nucleotide ribosomal RNA is filed under the name uncultured bacterium. Its description in RNAcentral is "bacterial SSU rRNA". It matches the Rfam family "Bacterial small subunit ribosomal RNA", at positions 29 to 430 of the family's 1533-position model. The record is from RNAcentral.
AUUGAACGCUGGCGGCAUGCCUUACACAUGCAAGUCGAACGGCAGCGCGGGCUUCGGCCUGGCGGCGAGUGGCGAACGGGUGAGUAACAUAUCGGAACGUGCCCUGGAGUGGGGGAUAACUAGUCGAAAGAUUAGCUAAUACCGCAUACGAUCUACGGAGGAAAGUGGGGGCCGCAAGGCCUCACGCUCGUGGAGCGGCCGAUAUCUGAUUAGCUAGUUGGNGGGGUAAAGCCUACCAAGGCCACGAUCAGUAGCUGGUCUGAGAGGACGACCAGCCACACUGGGACUGAGACACGGCCCAGACUCCUACGGGAGGCAGCAGUGGGGAAUUUUGGACAAUGGGCGCAAGCCUGAUCCAGCAAUGCCGCGUGAGUGAAGAAGGCCUCGGUUGUAAGU